CACCCCAAAGAGUGUCAUUCAGGUAUACUAAAAUAUGAUUGGCGCUCUUUUGAGUGUG
RNAcentral lists this microRNA precursor (58 nucleotides) under Bos taurus (domestic cattle). RNAcentral's name for it is "Bta-Mir-506-P2a_pre stem-loop". The record is from RNAcentral. Lineage: Eukaryota; Metazoa; Chordata; Mammalia; Artiodactyla; Bovidae.